Long non-coding RNA from Trematomus bernacchii (emerald rockcod), 213 nucleotides. RefSeq lists it as uncharacterized. Lineage: Eukaryota; Metazoa; Chordata; Actinopteri; Perciformes; Nototheniidae. The record is from RefSeq and is a predicted model, not a curated record. The transcript is spliced from 3 exons.
GGUGGUGUCAGCUGUGGCCAUGAGGCAGUCAGAGGAUGAGCAGAUCUGUUUUGAAGCGCUGGAGCCACUGUAUGUAGCUGGAACGGAGGACAUUGCUGGCAGGGGACAGGCAGAGACAUCCUCAGACAGCAGUGGCUAUAAUCCACAGAUCUGUCCCACACUUCCCUUUUUACAACUCCGGAGAUGACAGUGGGAUGCCAGACGUCAAGGCCC